RNAcentral lists this long non-coding RNA (805 nucleotides) under Mytilus galloprovincialis (Mediterranean mussel). The record is from RNAcentral. Lineage: Eukaryota; Metazoa; Mollusca; Bivalvia; Mytilida; Mytilidae.
GGCUUUAUCAUGUGUACAUAUGAGGUAAAAGCAAAGGUCAAAAUCUAGAACGUUUUAAUUAGCAUAUGACCUUGAGCUCAAUUUCAAGGUUAUAAACCAAGGACUUCAAAUCAAAAGACUCUAGUCCUCUACUUUAUAUUGUUAAUGAGUUAUAUUACCAUACGUAUGAUAUUAGAUAUAAAAAUGGGGAAAACUCGCGUCAAAUGUCUGCAUAUCCUUUCGACUAAAAUUUAUGUGUUACGACAUGUCGUAACUAACAAUUGUGUGAAAAUAUUUUGUCGAUAUCUUGUAUGAUUACUGAAAAUAAGAGAUAACAAGCCAAAAUCAAAAUUUUAAUCAUGACCUUGACCUUUGACCUUGACCUCAUUUUCAUUUUUUUGGACCAAGGACCUCAAAUCAAAAGACCCUAGGCCUCUACCACUUAUGGUUUUCCAGUUAAAAAUGCAUAUCACUUAUAUCAAAUAUAAAAGGGGAAAUAACUCUCAUAUGGAGUCUCCGGAUAGCUUCGGUCAAAAUGAAUCAAAUCAUCCUGAGGAUAUAACAAGCAAUUUAGUAAAACAAAUUUGUCGGUUUCUUAUACGGUUGCGAAGAUUAAUCGAUAACAAGAAAAACAGUGUUCGGGGAGAUAACUCUUACAUGGAUAAGAUUUUGGUUACGCAGUGUCAGUUUCAAAAGCGUAUUAAUUGUUCGAUAUCAUAUACCAUAUAUCUAAGCGACAUCUUGCGAAACAAAAAAAUUGCGAGGGAACAAAAAGUUGGCGGAAGAAAAAAAAAAAUAAUAAUAAUAAUAAUAAUCAGAAGAAAAC